UGCCAGCAGCCGCGGUAAUACGGAGGGGGUUAGCGUUGUUCGGAAUUACUGGGCGUAAAGCGUACGUAGGCGGACUGAUCAAUAAGUCAGGGGUGAAAUCCCGAGGCUCAACCUCGGAACUGCCUUUGAUACUGUUGGUCUUGAGUUCGAGAGAGGUGAGUGGAAUUCCGAGUGUAGAGGUGAAAUUCGUAGAUAUUCGGAGGAACACCAGUGGCGAAGGCGGCUCACUGGCUCGAUACUGACGCUGAGGUGCGAAAGCGUGGGGAGCAAACAGGAUUAGAUA
This 283-nucleotide ribosomal RNA is filed under the name uncultured bacterium. RNAcentral describes it as "partial 16S ribosomal RNA". It matches the Rfam family "Bacterial small subunit ribosomal RNA", at positions 506 to 784 of the family's 1533-position model. The record is from RNAcentral.